This 237-nucleotide long non-coding RNA is filed under the name Theobroma cacao (cacao). RNAcentral's name for it is "long non-coding RNA (TCAC_LNC001332)". The record is from RNAcentral. Lineage: Eukaryota; Viridiplantae; Streptophyta; Magnoliopsida; Malvales; Malvaceae.
CCCGUAGUGCAUCUCCUGGGUAUGUGUCUGGCAUUCGAUAGUAAUCCUUUUUAUUGUAAAUGUCUCCGCUGGAAGUCAUGGGUCCUUUUGUAGUGUGAAUACGAUCUAACAAUGUGAAUAUGUGUAUGCAAUGUAAAUUGCUAAAUACAUGACUGGUAUAGUGCAUGUAUAUUAUUAUCGAUAAUGCCAUUGUGUUUUGGCUAUGUUCACACCCGGGAAAAGGUGUGUGUGUGUGUG